UUCUCUCUUCAAUGCCCUCUCUCCCUCCACCAAAACCCUCCAGUCUCUCAAAACUUCACUCCGAUCCCACCAACGACACAUCGCCGAUAACCUUCUUUGCAUAACCCAACCAUUCAUUAACAUCUCUGAUCAAUCCCAGAUCACACAAGCAGUCUCUUCUCUUCAGCUGUUAUCACGCAAAGGCAUUCGAUUACCUUGUCAAACACUAGCUUACCUCUUCAUUUUCUUAGCUACUUAAUUAGUUGGGAUUUUCUCCAUGUUAGAUGUUCUUAUUGCUUUAGUGAGAUGGGCAUUGUUGUGUUGUCCUGUUGUUUUCUGGCAAGUUCAUUCAUCCAUAUUCAUGAAUUGAUUUUCAAAGGAACUGCAGAAUUUAAGUCAGUGAAAUAGACUCCAAAGAUGGAAGAGGAGAGUUACAUCUAUCUUGCAAUGCUUUGGAUUCCUAUGAAGUCUGUGAGUCUAUGGUUUUUACACUUUAUACCAGUAGUAACAUGAUUCAAUGGAAGUUGCUUGUCUUUGGUCCUCGUAUUCUCGUGUUCCGCAUCUCUAUUCAGACAAGAGAUAGCAAUUUUCUAGCAAGGUAGGAGGGAGGACGUCGUCUGUCUCCUAUCAAGUUCCAGAUGACUUGUUAAUACUUUCAUAGAAAAUCUCUUUCUAGUUC
Long non-coding RNA from Populus euphratica (Euphrates poplar), 658 nucleotides. RefSeq lists it as uncharacterized. The transcript is spliced from 2 exons. Lineage: Eukaryota; Viridiplantae; Streptophyta; Magnoliopsida; Malpighiales; Salicaceae. The record is from RefSeq and is a predicted model, not a curated record.